Molecule: long non-coding RNA, 874 nt
Organism: Sander lucioperca (pikeperch)
Lineage: Eukaryota; Metazoa; Chordata; Actinopteri; Perciformes; Percidae
Exons: 2
Source: RefSeq, a predicted model, not a curated record
ACCAAUUUUCCACCAGAUCACGUUAGUCAGGAAUAGGUGUGUGAGCGUGCCUCUUGUCUACCUGUAAAUAAUUCCAAAGCCUCAUCUCUAUCACAUCAAAUAUUUAAGUGGCUCCCAAAGUAAUAAAGUUAGGAUUGAUUAGAGGACGCGCCCCUGCGUUUGGACGCCUGGAGCGGGAUGGAACCAAUAAGAGAGUUAUCUUUCUCAGGUCUGCCACGCCCCUGUGAGUGUCUGGAUCACCCACACCUGAGUGUCUGGAUCACCCACACCUGUGCGUCUGGAUCACCCACACCUGAACUGCAUCGUCAGUGGAGCUGUAGCCUAUAUUAACCCCAGAACAAGUGUUCCUUGCCUCUUGUCCACAUAGCUGUUUGUUGGUCUGGUGCUGCUGUUAAAUUUGUUAUUGGUGAAAAUUAUUUUCUUUACCCUUUUUCUCCUGUUUUGUGGUCAGUUUGGAGCUUACUUGGGCUUAUUUUUGCAAAGGUUUUGAGUAAACCUACAUUACACAGAUCUUGGCCAUCCUGUUAGAUCAGCAAGUCAAAAAAAAGUGAGACUAGGACCAUUAGCCUGUGUCCUACAGUAGCUGGAUGGCCUGCAUUCCUACAACUUCCAUAGUCCUGUUCCCUGGAGCCUGAAACCGAUUUGAAUCGGAUUACUGAGCCCAGGCAGCCAAGCUUUUAGCAGAUCCAUUAUACAGUAUCAUGCGUGGCAUGUGGACGCAGUGCCCCUAGGGUUUCCAGAGAAGUUAUGGUGUAGGGUUGAAGAGAGAUUUUUUUUAUUUUUUUUUUGUACUCACACCUCAAAUAGGUAUGUUGGAGUUUCAUAUUGUGCAAGAAGUUGUUUAAAAUUAAAAAAAAAAAGUCUUCUGUGUUAA